RNAcentral lists this ribosomal RNA (253 nucleotides) under uncultured bacterium. RNAcentral's name for it is "partial 16S ribosomal RNA". It matches the Rfam family "Bacterial small subunit ribosomal RNA", at positions 524 to 776 of the family's 1533-position model. The record is from RNAcentral.
UACAGAGGUCUCGAGCGUUAGGCGGAAUCACUGGGCUUAAAGCGUGUGUAGGCGGAUCGUUAAGUGCCUUGUGAAAUCCCACGGCUUAACCGUGGAACUGCUUGGCAUACUGGCGGUCUUGAGCAACCUAGGGGCGAGCGGAACAAAUGGUGGAGCGGUGAAAUGCGUUGAUAUCGGCAGGAACUCCGGUGGCGAAGGCGAGAUGCUUGAUCUUUUCUGACGCUGAGGCGCGAAAGCCAGGGGAGCAAACGGG